This 223-nucleotide long non-coding RNA is filed under the name Elaeis guineensis (African oil palm). RNAcentral describes it as "long non-coding RNA (EGUI_LNC031163)". Lineage: Eukaryota; Viridiplantae; Streptophyta; Magnoliopsida; Arecales; Arecaceae. The record is from RNAcentral.
GUUUGGAUAUUCUCUAUUUCACAUGCUUCUUCUCAUAUGUUCCAGAGAUCUGACUUGAGUGUUGGAGGGUGUCCGUUGGAGCUAACUCCGAUCAGAAUUUAUUUUACAGAUCUCGUUGCCUCUAUAAAUACCGCUUGACUCCAACCACCCCAACUAGGGUUAGAAAUCUGUCACAACAUAUUGGCACUACAGGAAGGGCCAAACCUAUUUUUUGAGGAGCAGG